CCUUUAGAUGGGCCCGCGUUGGAUUAGGCUAGUUGUGGGUAAAGGCCUACCAAGGCGACGAUCCAUAGCUGGUCUGAGAGGAUGAUCAGCCACACUGGGACUGAGACACGGCCCAGACUCCUACGGGAGGCAGCAGUGGGGAAUAUUGGACAAUGGGCGAAAGCCUGAUCCAGCAAUGCCGCGUGAGUGAUGAAGGCCUUAGGGUUGUAAAGCUCUUUUACCCGAGAUGAUAAUGACAGUAUCGGGAGAAUAAGCUCCGGCUAACUCCGUG
RNAcentral lists this ribosomal RNA (271 nucleotides) under uncultured bacterium. Its description in RNAcentral is "partial 16S ribosomal RNA". It matches the Rfam family "Bacterial small subunit ribosomal RNA", at positions 218 to 507 of the family's 1533-position model. The record is from RNAcentral.